GCCCCGCAACCGACCGAUCGAGAAAACGCGCACGAUCAGCCCGGAGGUGGGCGAUAAUCUCGGGGAGAUGAGGACAAUAUUCCAUAGAUUUAGGAUGGUCGAAUGCACUUAAAUUAAAAGCUUCGGCGCCUAAGGAUGAGUCUGCGGACUAUCAGGUUGUAGUCAGGGUAACGACCUGACUAGCCUAAGACGGAUACGGGUUGUGAGAGCAAUAACCCNGGAGAUGAUAUCUGAGACACGAUAUCAGGCCCUACGGGGCGCAGCAGGCGCGAAAACUUCGCAAUGUGCGAAAGCACGACGAGGGAAUCCCAAGUGCUGGCUCGUUAGAGUCAGCUGUUUUUAUGUCUAAAAAGCAUAGAGAGUAAGGGCUGGGUAAGACGGGUGCCAGCCGCCGCGGUAA
RNAcentral lists this ribosomal RNA (400 nucleotides) under uncultured archaeon. RNAcentral describes it as "bacterial SSU rRNA". It matches the Rfam family "Archaeal small subunit ribosomal RNA", at positions 73 to 473 of the family's 1478-position model. The record is from RNAcentral.